This 465-nucleotide ribosomal RNA is filed under the name uncultured bacterium. RNAcentral's name for it is "partial 16S ribosomal RNA". It matches the Rfam family "Bacterial small subunit ribosomal RNA", at positions 338 to 795 of the family's 1533-position model. The record is from RNAcentral.
CCUACGGGGUGCAGCAGUGGGGAAUAUUGCGCAAUGGGCGAAAGCCUGACGCAGCGACGCCGCGUGAGGGAUGAAGGUCUUCGGAUCGUAAACCUCUGUCAGCAGGGAAGAACGGUCACUGUGCUAAUCAGCAGUGAAUUGACGGUACCUGCAAAGGAAGCACCGGCUAACUCCGUGCCAGCAGCCGCGGUAAUACGGAGGGUGCGAGCGUUAAUCGGAAUUACUGGGCGGAAAGCGCUCGUAGGCGGUAUGUCAAGUCAAGGGUGAAAUCCCCGCGCUCAACGUGGGAACUGCCUUUGAAACUGGCAAACUUGAGUGUGUGUGAGGAAAGUGGAAUUCGAGGUGUAGGAGUGAAAUCCGUAGAUAUCUGGAGGAACAUCGGUUGCGAAGGCGACUAUCUGGCACAUAACUGACGCUGAGGAGCGAAAGCGUGGGUAGCAAACAGGAUUAGAUACCCUUGUAGUC